GAUGAACGCUAGCGACAGGCUUAACACAUGCAAGUCGAGGGGCAGCAUAAAAGUAGCAAUACUUUGGUGGCGACCGGCGCACGGGUGAGUAACGCGUAUGCAACCUACCUAUCAGAGGGGAAUAACCCGGCGAAAGUCGGACUAAUACCGCAUAAAACAGGGACACCGCAUGGUGAUAUUUGUUAAAGAAAUUCGCUGAUAGAUGGGCAUGCGUUCCAUUAGGUAGUUGGUGAGGUAACGGCUCACCAAGCCGACGAUGGAUAGGGGAACUGAGAGGUUGGUCCCCCACACUGGUACUGAGACACGGACCAGACUCCUACGGGAGGCAGCAGUGAGGAAUAUUGGUCAAUGGGCGAGAGCCUGAACCAGCCAAGUCGCGUGAAGGAAGAAGGAUCUAUGGUUCGUAAACUUCUUUUGCAGGGGAAUAAAGUGCAGGACGUGUCCUGUUUUGUAUGUACCCUGAGAAUAAGGAUCGGCUAACUCCGUGCCAGCAGCCGAC
RNAcentral lists this ribosomal RNA (499 nucleotides) under uncultured bacterium. RNAcentral describes it as "bacterial SSU rRNA". It matches the Rfam family "Bacterial small subunit ribosomal RNA", at positions 28 to 518 of the family's 1533-position model. The record is from RNAcentral.